AUUGAACGCUGGCGGCAGGCCUAACACAUGCAAGUCGAACGAGGGGCGGACGGGAGAGUAAUGUAUGGGAAACUGCCUGAUGGAGGGGGUUAGCUACUGGAAACGGUAGCUAAUACCGCAUACACUCGGAUGGGUCCAGAUGGGAUUAGCUAGUAGGUGGGGUAAAGGCACACCUAGGCGACGAUCCCUAGCUGGUCUGAGAGGAUGAACAGUCACACUGGAACUUAGACACGGUCCAUACUCCUACUGGAGGCAGCAGUGGGGAAUAUUGGACAAUGGGCGCAAGCCUGAUGCAGCCAUGCCGCGUGUAUGAAGAAGGCCUUCGGGUUGUAAAGUACUUUCAGCGGGGAGGCGUUACCCGCAGAAGAAGCACCGGCUAACUCCGUGCCAGCCGCCGCGGUAAUUC
RNAcentral lists this ribosomal RNA (406 nucleotides) under uncultured bacterium. RNAcentral's name for it is "partial 16S ribosomal RNA". It matches the Rfam family "Bacterial small subunit ribosomal RNA", at positions 30 to 526 of the family's 1533-position model. The record is from RNAcentral.